UGGUGGAGCGAUUUGUCUGCUUAAUUGCGAUAACGAACGAGACCUUAACCUGCUAAAUAGUCAGUGAACCUUUGCGUUCGUGGACAACUUCUUAGACGGCCGUUUGCGUGUUUUAACCAAAGGAAGUUUGAGGCAAUAACA
RNAcentral lists this ribosomal RNA (141 nucleotides) under uncultured eukaryote. Its description in RNAcentral is "partial 18S ribosomal RNA". It matches the Rfam family "Eukaryotic small subunit ribosomal RNA", at positions 1299 to 1458 of the family's 1831-position model. The record is from RNAcentral.